This 460-nucleotide ribosomal RNA is filed under the name uncultured bacterium. RNAcentral's name for it is "partial 16S ribosomal RNA". It matches the Rfam family "Bacterial small subunit ribosomal RNA", at positions 338 to 795 of the family's 1533-position model. The record is from RNAcentral.
CCUACGGGAGGCUGCAGUGAGGAAUAUUGGUCAAUGGGCGUAAGCCUGAACCAGCCAAGUCGCGUGAGGGAUGAAGGUUCUGUGGAUCGUAAACCUCUUUUAUAAGGGAAUAAAGUGUGGGACGUGUCCUAUUUUGUAUGUACCUUAUGAAUAAGGAUCGGCUAACUCCGUGCCAGCAGCCGCGGUAAUACGGAGGAUCCGAGCGUUAUCCGGAUUUAUUGGGUUUAAAGGGUGCGGAGGCGGUCUUUUAAGUCAGCGGUGAAAGUCCGUGGCUCAACCAUAGAAUUGCCGUUGAAACUGGGGGGCUUGAGUAUGUUAGAGGCAGGCGGAAUGCGCGGUGUAGCGGUGAAAUGCUUAGAUAUCACGCAGAACCCCGAUUGCGAAGGCAGGUUGCCAAGCCAUGACUGACGCUGAGGCACGAAAGCGUGGGGAUCAAACAGGAUUAGAUACCCGUGUAGUC